Leptonychotes weddellii (Weddell seal) is the source of this 527-nucleotide long non-coding RNA. RefSeq lists it as uncharacterized. The record is from RefSeq and is a predicted model, not a curated record. NCBI's taxonomy places the organism in Eukaryota, Metazoa, Chordata, Mammalia, Carnivora, Phocidae.
GCUCAACCAACUGAGCCACCCAGGUGCACCUUAAUUACCCUCUUUCAAGUGGGUAGCAUCUAGCUUCCCUUAAAACUUCAACCUCUAGGAAUAUUCUUGCUGGCACCUGCAGGGGACAUCCCAUUGGUUCAGCAGCUGGCUGUUGCAAGGACUUGUUGAAUGCCAAGUCUAUGUCACACAACAGACACAGAGAUGAGAUACAUAUUCCCUGCCUUGGCCAUGCAAAGAAGAUGGGUAAAUAAGCCAGCGAGUUACAGCACAGACAGAGGUUUUAUCAUGAAGACUUCCUGAAAGAACUGAUACUUGAGCUGAAACUCAUGAGAGCAGCAGCAGCAUCACCCACUACCACCACGGCAGCAAUCAGCAAGAAUUUAUGGAGCACAUAUUACUGAUCAUACUUUGUCCAAUCUUGUAACAAAUUUACACCCCUCUGUUUUAUUCCUGCAUUUCUAUGAGUAGUCUCUUUUUGGUUUAAUCUUGUGUUUUUAAUGGCAUUGUGUUUUCUUGGUGUGUAAUUUUUUUUUUAA